AUACCUUGAGUAUCUUUAAAAAAAUAUAAAACAUCUAAAUAAAAAAAAAUAAACUUUAAAAUAUAAAGAUAAGUCAUUUAGAAAAUGUAUUUUUUUGGGGUUCUAUUUUCUCCAUUUAUAAGGAUCUAAGUAUGUAUAAAUUUUUCUAGUUGUAGAUAUGAGAAGUUAGACGAUAAUGUCCUUCCUCCAUAAUUUUGAGUAAAUGGUAGUCCAUUCUAUUGUACUAUUGUAGCUAGCU
This 238-nucleotide long non-coding RNA is filed under the name Lathyrus oleraceus (garden pea). Its description in RNAcentral is "Pisum sativum (pea) long non-coding RNA (PSAT_LNC015895)". Lineage: Eukaryota; Viridiplantae; Streptophyta; Magnoliopsida; Fabales; Fabaceae. The record is from RNAcentral.